CCUGUGAGAUACCACUUACGGUAUAUUGAAUUUGUUCGUUCCUUGGCUUUCUCAACAGUGUUCUCACUACUUUAUACCAAAUUGCCAAUUGUAUGUAUUGUACCGUAACAUAGUAUUCCUUUGAAAUUCCUGCAUUUUUCCUACAAAUUCGCUGGUUUUUCGAGCGAUUUCCUGAAGUGUAAACGGCGUUUUAUAGUAUAACUAUAUGAGAAUUUUGUGUCUGCUAACAAUUAUCGAGGGAUAGCCAAUUUCUUACCUAUAAGUCGCAUAAAUGUCGUGCUGGUGUCCAAAGAAACCAAAUUGUAUAUAAUAUAGUAAAUAUCACAUAGAAGACAAUAGUUUAAAAAAGUCAAUUAUUUGAGGUCGUCGACAUUUUGUUCAAUACCGAGAAGGAAGAUAACGGCGCAGCAGUAGACGAGGAUUCAUCAAAUCGACCUCUGCUCUGUCAUCACAGAUUAAUGCUACACACCCGCUUAACCGCUGUCAACAGUACAGGGAGAUACAAACGACAGUUAGAAAAACAAAUCCAAAUGGAAUAUUACAUCUUUUAAAAAAUAUAACACAUAAUAAAUCAGAUUCUCUACCGCAGCCAUAUUUUACGGUAUAUU
Molecule: long non-coding RNA, 608 nt
Filed under: Mytilus galloprovincialis (Mediterranean mussel)
Lineage: Eukaryota; Metazoa; Mollusca; Bivalvia; Mytilida; Mytilidae
Source: RNAcentral